Molecule: long non-coding RNA, 404 nt
Filed under: Gossypium raimondii (Peruvian cotton)
Lineage: Eukaryota; Viridiplantae; Streptophyta; Magnoliopsida; Malvales; Malvaceae
Description: long non-coding RNA (GRAI_LNC008855)
Source: RNAcentral
CCUGAAAGCGCUACAAAAUCAAAAGGACCAAUGGCGCAAAUAAUCCAAGAGCCAAAAACACGCGGAUCCUCCCCCAGGGUCGGGUCACCGCACGGGUCAGGGCCAAAACGGCGUCGUUUUGGCCACUGACCCUAAAUGGUAAAACGACGCCGUUUGGUUUGGGUAUUUAAACCCAUUUUUUUUCAAAAAUUCAUUCCAGCCACCGAAAGAGAAAAAAAACAAAAAAAAGGGUCCUCCCUCUUCCUCUCAAGCGCCUGGCCUUUGGGUUCUAAGGCCCCCGUUGCGCCGCCGCUCGGCUCGCCGCACCGCCAUCGCCCCGGUGAGUUUUUUCCUCUUUUUCUUUAUGUAUUAAAUAUAUGUAUAUAAAUGCACAACAAAAACGAAAAUAAAAAAAGAAUUACAAC